AGCGAACGCUGGCGGCAGGCCUAACACAUGCAAGUCGAACGAACUCUUCGGAGUUAGUGGCGGACGGGUGAGUAACACGUGGGAACGUGCCUUUUGGUUCGGAAUCACUCAGGGAAACUUGUGCUAAUACCGAAUGUGCCCUUCGGGGGAAAGAUUUAUCGCCAUUAGAGCGGCCCGCGUCUGAUUCGCUAGUUGGUGAGGUAACGGCUCGCCAAGGCGACGUUCAGUAGCUGGUCUGGGAGGAGGACCAACCACACUGGGCCCGAGGCACGGCCCAGUCUGGGACGCAGCGGAGGAGAGUAGUGUCCUACGGGAGAAAGCAUGAUCCAGCGCAGCCGCGUGGGGUAUGACGGGAUUCGGGUAGUAAUCCUAUUUUCUUACGGAAGAAGCGAAAGUGACGGUACCUGGAGAAGAAGCCCCGGCUAACUACGUG
RNAcentral lists this ribosomal RNA (433 nucleotides) under uncultured bacterium. Its description in RNAcentral is "partial 16S ribosomal RNA". It matches the Rfam family "Bacterial small subunit ribosomal RNA", at positions 29 to 507 of the family's 1533-position model. The record is from RNAcentral.